GCUGGGUGUGGUGGCUCACACCUGUAAUCCCAGCACUUUGGGAGGCCGAGGCGGGUGGAUCACCUGAGGUCAGGAGUUCAAGAUCAGCUUGGCCAAUAUGGUGAAACCCCGUCUCUA
RNAcentral lists this non-coding RNA (117 nucleotides) under Homo sapiens (human). The record is from Rfam by way of RNAcentral. Lineage: Eukaryota; Metazoa; Chordata; Mammalia; Primates; Hominidae.